Molecule: ribosomal RNA, 301 nt
Filed under: uncultured bacterium
Lineage: Bacteria
Description: partial 16S ribosomal RNA
Rfam family: Bacterial small subunit ribosomal RNA
Source: RNAcentral
CAGCCGCCGCGGGAAUACGAAGGGGGCUAGCGUUGCUCGGAAUGACUGGGCGUAAAGGGCGCGUAGGCGGUUUUGACAGUCAGAUGUGAAAUUCCUGGGCUUAACCUGGGGGCUGCAUUUGAGACGUCAAGACUAGAGUGUGAGAGAGGGUUGUGGAAUUCCCAGUGUAGAGGUGAAAUUCGUAGAUAUUGGGAAGAACACCGGUGGCGAAGGCGGCAACCUGGCUCAUUACUGACGCUGAGGCGCGAAAGCGUGGGGAGCAAACAGGAUUAGAUACCCCCGUAGUCCCUGUCUCUUAUAC